CUGCCUUCGUGGCAAUCACUGAGGCGUGCUUUGCAAACCGGGUUCUCGCAUGUAAGUUUCCCCCAUCUGCAGUUUCAUAACACAAGUCCAGCAUUCAUGUAGAUGCUCAGAAGGAAAGAGAAACAGGGAAGCACUUUCCUAUUAUCCAGGUGUGCAUUUGUCUGCGGGGAAGCCUGCCAGCCAGCUGGCAUACCUGACGUGAUCUGUCCUGCCCUCCACACCUGGGAAAUGCUGGUGGGAUACACAUUGACUUAACUGGGGAGGAAGCAAGUUGUCUCUUCUCUGACUGAGCUUUCUAAACAGUUCCUACUCAGAGGUGGCCUUCUUCCCCCCCAGGCCAUUUAUUCUUCACUCCACACUCUGCGACACGGCUGUAGUCUCAGACUGGUACAAAAUCCUGCAAGCUUGCUUUGCUGCGAACCCACUAAUUUUGUGUGGAGAAUGCUUUUCUUUCAAACCCUGCAGGCACAUUGCUGAUGCCAACAGUUUAUUAAAAUUGGUCUGAUUAUUCCGGCUGACACUUGAGGAUAGAUGAGUUUACUGUGUCUAAUUUUGAAAACCAUCUUAUGAAUCAAAGAUUUGAAAGAUGGAUUUAGGUUUAAAUGAUGAGUUCCUCUUCUUUUGAUCAAUUUUAGUAAAACAUGACAGAAAAGAUGUAAAAAUGUUAGAAUGAAACGCAGCAGACAUGGUGAAAAGUACAGAAGGAUGCUGUGGAAACUGAAACAGAGAUGAAGAGAGGUUCUAAUUUUAAUGUCGAGCAUAAGUGGUAUAGCCAGAGAAGGAUUUUCCAUCAACAAGGAGUGGAUGAAACCCAGCCACUGAAACCCAGACACUCUUGUUCACUGAAAGAGUGGCAGAGAAGAGAUGGAGGCAAAGAAGUGUAAUGCAAAGGCUUUUACCUCAGAUGAUGCUUUAUAAACUCUAAAAAUAUCCAUUUAAAAACCUAGAUCUAUUAAAAAACAUACAUCCAAGAUGUCCACUGUUGUUCUAAGCAAAGACAAAAAUCUACAAGGAACUGACAAUUAUCAGCCACUGAG
Molecule: long non-coding RNA, 1037 nt
Organism: Zonotrichia albicollis (white-throated sparrow)
Lineage: Eukaryota; Metazoa; Chordata; Aves; Passeriformes; Passerellidae
Source: RefSeq, a predicted model, not a curated record